This 441-nucleotide ribosomal RNA is filed under the name Ctenopus cf. persicus. Its description in RNAcentral is "partial large subunit ribosomal RNA". It matches the Rfam family "Archaeal large subunit ribosomal RNA", at positions 2006 to 2654 of the family's 2987-position model. Lineage: Eukaryota; Metazoa; Arthropoda; Insecta; Coleoptera; Meloidae. The record is from RNAcentral.
AGCUGCAGUAUCUUGACUGUACAAAGGUAGCAUAAUCAUUAGUUAUUUAAUUGAAAGCUGGAAUGAAUGGCUGGAUAAGGAAAUAACUGUCUCUUUUUAAAUAAUUUGAACUUUAUUUUUAAGUAAAAAAGCUUAAAUUUAAUAAAAAGACGAGAAGACCCUAUAGAGUUUAAUAUGCUUGAUUCUUUAUAGUAUAGGGUUUUAUUAUAUAUAGAAUUAAGCUUAUUUUGUUGGGGUGACAAUAGAAUUAAUUAAACUUCUCUUUAUUAAUCAUUGAUUUAUGAAUAAAUGAUCCUAUUAUAUAGAUUAUAAGAAAAAAUUACCUUAGGGAUAACAGCGUAAUCCUUUUGGAGAGUUCUUAUCGAUAAAAGGGAUUGCGACCUCGAUGUUGGAUUAAAGUUUAAUGUUGGUGUAGAAGCUAAUAUAUUAAGACUGUUCGAU